AGUCAUAUGCUUAUCUCCAAGAUUAAGCCAUGCAUGCCUAAGUUCAAACUCUUGAAAGGUUAAACCGUGAAUGGCUCAUUAUAACAGCUACGAUUUAAGAGAGUUACGCAAAUUUGCCAUAGGAUAACUGUGGUAAUUCUAGAGCUAAUACAUUAGAAUAGUGCGACUCACGAAGCACUGGAUUUAUUAGUUCAAAACCAAUCAGUCAUUUAUGACUGCGUUUUGAUGACUCUGGAUAACUUACCUAAUCGCAUGACCUUGUGUUGGCGAUUCAUCUCUUAAAGUGGCUGACCUAUCAACUAUCGUUGGUAAGUUAACAGCUUACCAUGGUGAUAACGGGUAACGGGGAAUCAGGGUUCGAUUCCGGAGAGGGAGCCUGAGAAACGGCUACCACAUCCACGGAUGGCAGCAGGCGCGUAACAUGCCCACUGCUCGAUGAGCGAGGCUGUGACGAUAAAUAACAAUAUGAGCCCUUGUGGUUUCAUAAUUGGAAUGAGAUAACUUUAAAUACUUUAACGAGUAACAAUUGGAGGGCAAGUCUGGUGCCAGCAGCCGCGGUAAUUCCAGCUCCAAUAGCGUAUAUUAAAGUUGUUGCAGUUAAAAAGCUCGUAGUUGAAAUUGAGGUGUUAAUUUUUCAGUUCGCUGCCUUUGGUUAGUAGCUGAAAACGCCUUCUCAGUCGUGUACGCUUCUGAUGCCCUUCACUUUGGGUGUUGGAAGAGACCGACAACUUUACUUUGAAAAAAUUAGAGUGCUUAAAGCAGACUAUUGUCUGAAUAUUGUUGCAUGGAAUAAUAGAAUAGGACUUCGGUUCUAUUUUGUUGGUUUUCGGAACUGAAGUAAUGAUUGAAAGAGACUGCCGGGGGCAUAUGUAUGCUGUUAGGAGAGGUGAAAUUCUAGGAUUAACAGCAGACAACCUACUGCGAAAGCAUUUGCCAAGAAUGUUUUCAUUAAUCAAGAACGAAAGUCAGAGGAUCGAAGACGAUCAGAUACCGUCCUAGUUCUGACCAUAAACUAUGCCAACUGACGAUUCGCUCAGGCAUCAUAUAUUGCCUUGCGAGCAGUCACCGGGAAACCAAAGUCUUUGGGUUCCGGGGGAAGUAUGGUUGCAAAGCUGAAACUUAAAGGAAUUGACGGAAGGGCACCACCAGGAGUGGAGCCUGCGGCUUAAUUUGACUCAACACGGGAAAUCUCACCCGGUCCGGACACUGUGAGGAUUGACAGAUUGAUAGCUCUUUCUUGAUUCAGUGGGUGGUGGUGCAUGGCCGUUCUUAGUUGGUGGAGUGAUCUGUCUGGUUGAUUCCGAUAACGAACGAGACUCUAACCUGCUAACUAGUACAUGUGUGUUUUAAUAGCACAUGCUGACUUCUUAGAGGAAUUACUGGCGUUUAGCCAAAUGAAAAGGAGCAAUAACAGGUCUGUGAUGCCCUUAGAUGUCCGGGGCCGCACGCGCGCUACAAUGGCAGUCCCAGCGAGUGUACAAUCCUAGCCUGAAAGGGCUGGGUAACCUGCUAAAUGACUGUCGUAUCUGGAAUAGUGGUUUGAAAUUUUUCCACUUGAACCAGGAAUUCCUAGUAAGUGCAAGUCACUAGCUUGCGCUGAUUACGUCCCUGCCCUUUGUACACACCGCCCGUCGCUACUACCGAUUGAAUGGUUUAGUGAGAUUGUUGGAUUCUAUCCUAAGAAGCGUUAACGCGUUUCUAUGGACUGAAGAAGACACUCAAACUUGAUCAUUUAGAGGAAGUAAAAGUCGUAACAAGCUUUCC
This 1764-nucleotide ribosomal RNA is filed under the name Bdelloura candida. Its description in RNAcentral is "SSU rRNA". It matches the Rfam family "Eukaryotic small subunit ribosomal RNA". The record is from RNAcentral. Lineage: Eukaryota; Metazoa; Platyhelminthes; Tricladida; Bdellouridae.